This 69-nucleotide transfer RNA is filed under the name Lithoredo abatanica. RNAcentral's name for it is "tRNA-Val". Lineage: Eukaryota; Metazoa; Mollusca; Bivalvia; Myida; Teredinidae. The record is from RNAcentral.
GAGGAAAUAGCAUAAGUAGUGUUUCUUGCUUACAUCAAGAAGGUGGCGGGUAGUGGUAGCCUUUUCUUU